AUUGAACGCUGGCGGCAGGCCUAACACAUGCAAGUCGAGCGGAUGAAGGGAGCUUGCUCCUGGAUUCAGCGGCGGACGGGUGAGUAAUGCCUAGGAAUCUGCCUGGUAGUGGGGGAUAACGUCCGGAAACGGGCGCUAAUACCGCAUACGUCCUGAGGGAGAAAGUGGGGGAUCUUCGGACCUCACGCUAUCAGAUGAGCCUAGGUCGGAUUAGCUAGUUGGUGGGGUAAAGGCCUACCAAGGCGACGAUCCGUAACUGGUCUGAGAGGAUGAUCAGUCACACUGGAACUGAGACACGGUCCAGACUCCUACGGGAGGCAGCAGUAGGGAAUAUUCGACAAUGGGCGAAAGCCUGAUCCAGCCAUGCCGCGUGUGUGAAGAAGGUCUUCGGAUUGUAAAGCACUUUUAGUUGGGAGGAAGAACAGUAAGUUAAUCCCUUGCUGUUUUGACGUUACCAACAGAAUAAGCACCGGCUAACUACGUG
Molecule: ribosomal RNA, 484 nt
Filed under: uncultured bacterium
Lineage: Bacteria
Description: partial 16S ribosomal RNA
Rfam family: Bacterial small subunit ribosomal RNA
Source: RNAcentral